Pelobates cultripes (western spadefoot toad) is the source of this 273-nucleotide non-coding RNA. The record is from the annotation of a GenBank genome assembly. Lineage: Eukaryota; Metazoa; Chordata; Amphibia; Anura; Pelobatidae.
GGGAACAGUUCCCUGCUUUCACCGAAAACAAGACACUGGGGAACAAAGUUCAGAUGGAUGGACAGGACUUUAAUUAAUACGGUUAUAUGACUAGUUGAACUAGUUGAAAAAACAAUACAGCCAUUGCAUGAGUUCAUUAGCUUAUUAAGAAUCCUUAUUUUUUUUUAUUUUUAUUUUUAAUAGUUGAAUCAGAUUGCAAAUAAUAUAUAUUCCUAGUUAGUACAUGGCUUGUUUCUAGACCCUGGCCCUGUGUUUAAAACAUUGUUCAUUGCU